Molecule: ribosomal RNA, 501 nt
Filed under: Bacillus licheniformis
Lineage: Bacteria; Bacillati; Bacillota; Bacilli; Caryophanales; Bacillaceae
Description: bacterial SSU rRNA
Rfam family: Bacterial small subunit ribosomal RNA
Source: RNAcentral
UCAGGACGAACGCUGGCGGCGUGCCUAAUACAUGCAAGUCGAGCGGACCGAYGGGAGCUUGCUCCCUUAGGUCAGCGGCGGACGGGUGAGUAACACGUGGGUAACCUGCCUGUAAGACUGGGAUAACUCCGGGAAACCGGGGCUAAUACCGGAUGCUUGAUUGAACCGCAUGGUUCAAUYAUAAAAGGUGGCUUUYAGCUACCACUUACAGAUGGACCCGCGGCGCAUUAGCUAGUUGGUGAGGUAACGGCUCACCAAGGCGACGAUGCGUAGCCGACCUGAGAGGGUGAUCGGCCACACUGGGACUGAGACACGGCCCAGACUCCUACGGGAGGCAGCAGUAGGGAAUCUUCCGCAAUGGACGAAAGUCUGACGGAGCAACGCCGCGUGAGUGAUGAAGGUUUUCGGAUCGUAAAACUCUGUUGUUAGGGAAGAACAAGUACCGUUCGAAUAGGGCGGUACCUUGACGGUACCUAACCAGAAAGCCACGGCUAACUACGU